This 253-nucleotide ribosomal RNA is filed under the name uncultured bacterium. Its description in RNAcentral is "partial 16S ribosomal RNA". It matches the Rfam family "Bacterial small subunit ribosomal RNA", at positions 524 to 776 of the family's 1533-position model. The record is from RNAcentral.
UACGUAGGCAGCAAGCGUUGUUCGGAAUUACUGGGCGUAAAGAGCGCGUAGGCGGGGCUUUAAGUCAGAUGUGAAAUCCCCAGGCUCAACCUGGGAACAGCAUUUGAAACUGAAGAUCUUGAGGGUAGUCGGAGAAAAUGGAAUUCCACGUGUAGCGGUGAAAUGCGUAGAUAUGUGGAAGAACACCGGUGGCGAAGGCGAUUUUCUAGAUUAUACCUGACGCUGAGGCGCGAAAGCAAGGGGAUCAAACAGG